This 2479-nucleotide ribosomal RNA is filed under the name oral metagenome. RNAcentral describes it as "bacterial LSU rRNA". It matches the Rfam family "Bacterial large subunit ribosomal RNA", at positions 14 to 2531 of the family's 2925-position model. The record is from RNAcentral.
AGCGCAUACGGUGAAUGCCUAGGCAAUCAGAGGCGAUGAAGGACGUGGUAAUCUGCGAUAAGCGUUGGUGAGCUGGUAACAAGCGUUAUAGCCAACGAUUUCCGAAUGGGGAAACCCACCUGUUUACAGGUAUCUUAUACUGAAUACAUAGGUAUAAGAGGCGAACCUGGGGAACUGAAACAUCUAAGUACCCAGAGGAAAAGAAAUCAACCGAGAUUCUGUCAGUAGCGGCGAGCGAACGCGGAACAGCCUUUAAGUGAUAUUUGAUGUAUUAGAGGAAUCAGCUGGGAAGCUGAGCCAUAGUGGGUGAUAGCCCCGUACUCGAAAAUGCGUCAUUGGUACUAAGCUUAAGAGAAGUAGGGCGGAGCACGUGAAACUCUGUCUGAACAUGGGGGGACCAUCCUCCAAGGCUAAAUACUCCUGAUUGACCGAUAGUGAACUAGUACCGUGAGGGAAAGGCGAAAAGAACCCCUGUGAGGGGAGUGAAAUAGAACCUGAAACCGUGUGCGUACAAGCAGUGGGAGCCCUACGGGGUGACUGCGUACCUUUUGUAUAAUGGGUCAGCGACUUACAUUUAGUAGCAAGCUUAACCGGUAGGGGAGGCGUAGAGAAAUCGAGUCUUAAUAGGGCGUAUAGUUGCUAGGUGUAGACCCGAAACCCGGCGAUCUACCCAUGGCCAGGUUGAAGGUGCCGUAACAGGCACUGGAGGACCGAACCCACGUAUGUUGAAAAAUGCGGGGAUGAGCUGUGGGUCGGAGUGAAAGGCUAAUCAAGCCGGGAGAUAGCUGGUUCUCCCCGAAAUCUAUUUAGGUAGAGCGUCAUGUCUCACUCCAGGGGGUAGAGCACUGUUAAGGCUAGGGGGUCAUCCCGACUUACCAACCCUUUGCAAACUCCGAAUACCUGGAAGUGCAAUCAUGGCAGACACACUAUGGGUGCUAACGUCCAUAGUGGAGAGGGAAACAACCCAGACCGUCAGCUAAGGUCCCCAAGUUAUAGUUAAGUGGGAAACGAUGUGGGAAGGCCCAGACAGCUAGGAGGUUGGCUUAGAAGCAGCCAUCCUUUAAAGAAAGCGUAAUAGCUCACUAGUCGAGUCGGCCUGCGCGGAAGAUUUAACGGGGCUCAAACUAUACACCGAAGCUACGGAUGCACUUAUGUGCAUGGUAGGGGAGCGUUCUGUACGCCGAUGAAGGUGAGUCGAGAGGCUUGCUGGAGGUAUCAGAAGUGCGAAUGCUGACAUGAGUAACGAUAAAGCGGGUGAAAAACCCGCUCGCCGAAAGUCCAAGGUUUCCUGCACAACGCUAAUCGGUGCAGGGUUAGUCGGCCCCUAAGGUGAGGCAGAAAUGCGUAAUCGAUGGGAAACGGGUUAAUAUUCCCGUACCGACUGUGACUGCGAUGGAGAGACGGAGAAGGCUAAACUUACCAGGUGUUGGUUAUCCUGGGGAAAGUAUGUAGGUUGGAGACUUAGGUAAAUCCGGGUUUCCUUAAGACUGAGAUACGAGACUAUGAGACUACGGUCUCAAAGUAGUUGAUGCCCUGCUUCCAAGAAAAUCUUCUAAGCUUCAGGUCACAGUUGACCGUACUCCAAACGAACACACGUGGACGGGAUGAGAAUUCUAAGGCGCUUGAGAGAACUCGGCUGAAGGAACUAGGCAAAAUGGUACCGUAACUUCGGGAGAAGGUACGCCGGUUUUGGUGAUGGGACUUGCUCCCUAAGCUGAGGCCGGCCGCAGAGACCAGGUGGCUGCAACUGUUUAUCAAAAACAUAGCACUGUGCAAACUCGCAAGAGGACGUAUACGGUGUGACGCCUGCCCGGUGCCGGAAGGUUAAUUGAUGGGGUUAGCUUAUGCGAAGCUCUUGAUCGAAGCCCCGGUGAACGGCGGCCGUAACUAUAACGGUCCUAAGGUAGCGAAAUUCCUUGUCGGGUAAGUUCCGACCUGCACGAAUGGCGUAAUGAUGGCCACACUGUCUCCAGCCGAGACUCAGUGAAAUUGAAAUCGCUGUGAAGAUGCAGCGUACCCGCGGCUAGACGGAAAGACCCCGUGAACCUUUACUACAGCUUGACACUGAACUUUGAACCUACCUGUGUAGGAUAGGUGGGAGGCUUUGAAACCAUGACGCUAGUUGUGGUGGAGCCAACCUUGAAAUACCACCCUGGUAUGUUUGAAGUUCUAACCUCGACCCGUUAUCCGGGUUAGGGACAGUGUCUGGUGGGUAGUUUGACUGGGGCGGUCUCCUCCCAAAGAGUAACGGAGGAGCGCGAAGGUACCCUAAUUCCGGUCGGAAAUCGGAAGUUUAGUGCAAAGGCAUAAGGGUGCUUGACUGCGAGACUGACACGUCGAGCAGGUGCGAAAGCAGGUCUUAGUGAUCCGGUGGUUCUGAAUGGAAGGGCCAUCGCUCAACGGAUAAAAGGUACUCCGGGGAUAACAGGCUGAUACUGCCCAAGAGUCCAUAUCGACGGCAGUGUUUGGCACCUCGAUG